Gasterosteus aculeatus aculeatus (three-spined stickleback) is the source of this 812-nucleotide long non-coding RNA. Lineage: Eukaryota; Metazoa; Chordata; Actinopteri; Perciformes; Gasterosteidae. The record is from Ensembl.
AGAAGCUUCUGAGCGGCUAACAGGAAGUUGGCGUCUCACAGGCAAGCAAACACUUUGCUCGGCUAAAUGCUACGAGAGAAACUGUGGAUCAAAGACGUUAAACAGCCGUGGCCGCUGAGCCCGACUACGCUAAUGAGGUGGAACAAGGUCGUUCUGGUCCUUUGACUUGUCAGGAAAACCCACACAGCGACUGAGGCCUCAUCAGGAGUCCGUGUGAGCCUCCAAUCCCCCCCCAGGUUCCCUCACCACGACAACCAAGGACCCCUCAAAAACCUGAGGACCACAAGCAGGCGGAGAUCUUCUCGAAGGACGUCUUCUCUCAGACACUGGUUGGAGUCGAUUAGUAGUGAGUUUCCCACAGUGCAUCAGGGCUGGAGAUGCCCUCCCCCCCCCAACACCUGUCAGGUCGCACGCCAACCAAUCGCCAUCUGAGCUGUGUUCUCUGACGCCAUCAAACAGCUGCACAGGUAGAUGCACAGAGAGACUCAUGCAAUCCGAUUGUUAUAGAGGAGGCGUGUGCGUCACACCGCAUCAUGCUAACGGCGCUCUGCAGCAGUGGAAGCUCCCGUGAUGAAUCCCAUCCUCUCUCUCUCUCUGCAACCAGCCCGUAAUGAAGGUGCAGGUUGUUUUGCCUCAUGGCCCUGAUGGGAAAACGUCCUAAAAGCCCUCGACUUUGAAGCGAUGUCCCCUGUGUCUCCAGGGGGACGCUCGGGUGCCGCUCUUCUCCUUUCAUUUCCCUGAUGUGUUCAGGAUUUCGGGGGAAAUUACCAGCCGUCCUACUGAGGGCGAUUUGUCUGCCGCGGCUCGGCGGC